CCCUAAACGAUGUCUACUAGUUGUCGGGUUUUAAUUAACUUGGUAACGCAGCUAACGCGUGAAGUAGACCGCCUGGGGAGUACGGUCGCAAGAUUAAAACUCAAAGGAAUUGACGGGGACCCGCACAAGCGGUGGAUGAUGUGGAUUAAUUCGAUGCAACGCGAAAAACCUUACCUACCCUUGACAUGUACGGAAGCCACGAGAGAUCGAGGUGUGCUCGAAAGAGAACCGUAACACAGGUGCUGCAUGGCUGUCGCCAGCUCGUGUCGUGAGAUGUUGGGUUAAGUCCCGCAACGAGCGCAACCCUUGUCAUUAGUUGCUACAUUCAGUUGAGCACUCUAAUGAGACUGCCGGUGACAAACCGGAGGAAGGUGGGGAUGACGUCAAGUCCUCAUGGCCCUUAUGGGUAGGGCUUCACACGUCAUACAAUGGUACAUACAGAGGGCCGCCAACCCGCGAGGGGGAGCUAAUCCCAGAAAGUGUAUCGUAGUCCGGAUCGCAGUCUGCAACUCGACUGCGUGAAGUUGGAAUCGCUAGUAAUCGCGGAUCAGCAUGUCGCGGUGAAUACGUUCCCGGGUCUUGUACACACCGCCCGUCACACCAUGGGAGCGGGUUUUACCAGAAGUAGGUAGCUUAACCGCAAGGGGGGCGCUUACCACGGUAGGAUUCGUGACUGGGGUGAAGUCGUAACAAGGUAAGCCCGUAUCGGAAGGUCC
RNAcentral lists this ribosomal RNA (716 nucleotides) under uncultured bacterium. Its description in RNAcentral is "bacterial SSU rRNA". It matches the Rfam family "Bacterial small subunit ribosomal RNA", at positions 800 to 1515 of the family's 1533-position model. The record is from RNAcentral.